GAGCAGUUAGGUUCGCGCGAGAGAGGAAUAUUCAGUUUGCGAACGGUGCUCGUCACGAUCGUGCUGAAAUUCUUUAUUCGAAGUGCAACAAAUAAAAUUUUAUUUUUUUUCCCCCAAAAUCCACGUUUCGUAUAAACGGACGAGUACGCACACGCACACGCACAGUUUUUGUCAUUUUGUCAUUCAUUUUGCGUACUUUUUCUUUUCAUUUUUUUUUCCUCUCCCCUUUCCAAGUAAUACGACAACCUAUGUGAAACAUUUAAUCUUUUCUUUCUUCUACUACCCCCAUUAUUCUCUCUUUCUUUGUUUCUUUCAUUUUUAUUUUCUCAGACGCGUUCGAUUAUCCUUGGAUAUGUUCUGCUCGUGUUUUUUACCGUGGACGAGGUGAUAAAGACGAUUGUGUCCUUGAAUGAAAAUGGAAUACAACAGCGGUUAAGGGAUUCUAUCAUCAAGGAGUUUUCUCAGGGCCGCCCCAUAAAUGUCGCGUCGUUCGGUGAUUUGUUUUGACAUGUGUACAACAUAGAGGACUGCCAUAUUGGAUUACAAACGCAACGUUGUAUUAUUCGAAAUAGGGGAAAACAAGGAAAAUCUGACACGAUUUUCAAGCGUCUUCAAACGAAUUGAAGAGUUCAUACACCGAGGUUCGAUCAUGGAUCCUGUGGCGACAGUUGCGAGUUAUAGUUAAAAAGUCGGACGGUCGAUGUCUGAUGGCGCGAGCUGGAACCCAGCGCUGGAGAAAUCCUACUCCAGAAGGUGACGAUGUACAACGAUCGAUCGAACUGCUGGACAAAGUGCUCUCAGAGUACGACGAGCACGAGGCAGAAAGCGAAGUCUGCACCGGUGUUGGUGGUGGUGG
Polistes canadensis is the source of this 856-nucleotide long non-coding RNA. RefSeq lists it as uncharacterized. NCBI's taxonomy places the organism in Eukaryota, Metazoa, Arthropoda, Insecta, Hymenoptera, Vespidae. The record is from RefSeq and is a predicted model, not a curated record. The transcript is spliced from 6 exons.